Molecule: long non-coding RNA, 445 nt
Filed under: Coturnix japonica (Japanese quail)
Lineage: Eukaryota; Metazoa; Chordata; Aves; Galliformes; Phasianidae
Description: lncRNA (ENSCJPG00005007451.1)
Source: RNAcentral
CUGGUGUGGAGGUACUCACUCUGGCAGUCUCACCAGCACAACGAGAAGGCAGCAGAAUUGAGAGAGAGCCACAGCCAGCUCCUCCUUUUCGCAUGGGGCAGCUCUGACAAAAGAAAAAGCCAGUCCAGAGCUGACAAGGCAGCAGGAUUUUUUUCAUGUUCCCUGCAGGUGUGGAGCAGUCUUUGUUGGUGAUGGUGUAUGCAGUAUGUGACUGCACAGGAACUGACUCCUCAGGCUUUCUGAAGGAACUGGAAUUAAAUUAGACUCUUCUCAGCCAAACCAGUUCCUUCACCCAGUUCAAAAUACAACCAUGGCCACAUUACAGAAAAAGUUGUAUGGAUGUGGAGACAAACAGCAGAAGUCAGGAUGCCUCUCAUUAGCCAUCGGGGCUGCCAAAAGGUGAGAAGGUGACAAGAAUGAAAUGCACAAAAUGCAUGUGUAGGAG